This 43-nucleotide small RNA is filed under the name Arabidopsis thaliana (thale cress). Its description in RNAcentral is "ATSL141800". The record is from RNAcentral. Lineage: Eukaryota; Viridiplantae; Streptophyta; Magnoliopsida; Brassicales; Brassicaceae.
GAAAUGAAGCUCCAGAACACAGAUGAAGGAACUCAACGUAAGA